CUAAGCGUACACGGUGGAUGCCCUGGCAGUCAGAGGCGAUGAAGGGCGUGCUAAUCUGCGAUAAGCGCCGGUAAGGUGAUAUUAACCGUUAUAACCGGCGAUACCCGAAGGGGGAAACCCAGUGUGAUUCGUCACACUAUCAUUAACUGAAGCUAUAGGUUAAUGAGGCGAACCGGGGGAACUGAAACAUCUAAGUACCCCGAGGAAAAGAAAUCAACCGAGAUUCCCCCA
RNAcentral lists this ribosomal RNA (231 nucleotides) under Salmonella enterica subsp. enterica serovar Cerro. RNAcentral's name for it is "partial 23S ribosomal RNA". It matches the Rfam family "Bacterial large subunit ribosomal RNA", at positions 12 to 242 of the family's 2925-position model. The record is from RNAcentral. Lineage: Bacteria; Pseudomonadati; Pseudomonadota; Gammaproteobacteria; Enterobacterales; Enterobacteriaceae.